This 107-nucleotide small nucleolar RNA is filed under the name Nannospalax galili (Upper Galilee mountains blind mole rat). Its description in RNAcentral is "Small nucleolar RNA SNORA24 (ENSNGAG00000007432.1)". It matches the Rfam family "Small nucleolar RNA SNORA24". From Rfam's summary of the family: ACA24 is a member of the H/ACA class of snoRNA that guide the sites of modification of uridines to pseudouridines. The record is from Rfam by way of RNAcentral. Lineage: Eukaryota; Metazoa; Chordata; Mammalia; Rodentia; Spalacidae.
CUCCAUGUGUCUUUGGGACCUGUCGGCUGUGGCAGUCUCCCUUCCUAGCCAUGGAAGAGCAUAUUCAUUUAAUUGGUAUCAGAUUCUGACUUGUACAAGUAACAUUC